Long non-coding RNA from Clupea harengus (Atlantic herring), 938 nucleotides. Lineage: Eukaryota; Metazoa; Chordata; Actinopteri; Clupeiformes; Clupeidae. The record is from Ensembl.
GUUGUGCAGAGACAACGGGCUGCCUCGCUAAACGAUGCACACCUGUAACUCACGUGACCCUGGUUAUUAUUGAAACGAGAACGAGGGCGUCGUGCCUUUAUAAGACUGCGUUAAUGGUUCCGUGGAGUCAUCCCUUCCGUUGUUGUUUAUUGAUUGUUAAACAUGGCUUCAUUUGCAAAGGUGGUUGUGUGUGUCCUCAUUGCUUGUGUCUGUAAUGCAUUCGGUUUUCCGAAGAGAGAUGUGAACUUUAAGGCCUCUGCAGUUGACCGCCAAAGUGAUGAUGUGGUUGUCACCACAACACCCGUUCCCCACAACCAGACCACCUCUGCCCCUACUGAAGCUGGUGGUGGUGCAAGUGAAUAUGCUGUGGCUACUACCCCAGCACCUAAUCCACACAACCAGUCAACUUCUGCACAAACUGAAGUUACUGAUGGGGCCAGUGAAGAUGCUGUGGACCGCCAAAGUGAUGAUGUGGUUGUCGCCACAACACCCAAUCCCCACAACCAGACCACAUCUGCCCCUACUGAAGCUGGUGAUGGAGCAAGUGAAGAUGAUUCAGAUGAUGAUGAUGCUGCAAGUGAAGAUGAUGAUUCUGCAAAUGAAGAUGAUGAUGCUGCAAGUGAAGAUGCUGUGGCUACCACCCCAACACCAAAUCCCCCAACUACAUCUCACCACACUGCAGCUACCGAUGAUGCAAGUGAGGGUGCUGUGGCUGCCUAAACUGGAACUACUGUAUCCCAUACGACUGAAGUCUGAUUCGACUGCUCCUCUGGUCACAAUAACCUGUCUGGACUUUUUGCCUCUACAUGUUGACUGCAAUAAAGGACAGAUUUUGUAUUUUUUUUAAUCAAAUGUUGUCUUGCCUUUUUCAAAUUGAGGCCUUGUCCUGUUUUGGUAGUGGAGAUGACUAUGAAGCCUCUUUUCUAACGUAUUUCCUG